GAUGAAGAACGCAGCGAAAUGCGAUACGUAAUGUGAAUUGCAGAAUUCCGCGAAUCAUCGAAUCUUUGAACGCACAUUGCACCCGGUGGUAUUCCGCCGGGUAUGCCUGUCUGAGCGUCAUUUCUACCCUCGAGCACUGCUCGGUGUUGGCGGAUUGCCUAGCAACCGCUGAAAAUCAACGGCGGUGGCCCCUAUGUCCCUGUAUAGUACUAUUCUUACAGUGGUUAUAGCGGUCUACCAGUCUUUUGUCGUGGUCUCUCGGGACCCUCGACACUUGAAACUCGACCUCAGAUCAGGUAGGAAUACCCGCUGAACUUAAGCAUAUCAAUAAGCGGAGGA
RNAcentral lists this unclassified non-coding RNA (339 nucleotides) under soil metagenome. RNAcentral's name for it is "partial contains 5.8S ribosomal RNA, internal transcribed spacer 2, and large subunit ribosomal RNA". The stretch from base 1 to 120 matches the Rfam family "5.8S ribosomal RNA", at positions 35 to 154 of the family's 154-position model. The record is from RNAcentral.